Small nucleolar RNA from Spea bombifrons (plains spadefoot toad), 131 nucleotides. RefSeq annotates it as small nucleolar RNA SNORA5. The transcript has a single exon. NCBI's taxonomy places the organism in Eukaryota, Metazoa, Chordata, Amphibia, Anura, Pelobatidae. The record is from RefSeq and is a predicted model, not a curated record.
UGCAGCCUAGUCAAAUUCGGUGAUGCGUCUCCUGUUGCAAUCGCCGGUCCGAAUGGCUGCCACAGAAUGCCUGUAACUCAUGGGCCUCGCUUCUCGCUGAUACCGAGGAUAAAAUAACGUUACAGACACCG